UACGUAGGGUCCGAGCGUUGUCCGGAAUUACUGGGCGUAAAGAGCUCGUAGGUGGUUUGUCGCGUUGUUCGUGAAAACUCACAGCUCAACUGUGGGCGUGCGGGCGAUACGGGCAGACUAGAGUACUGCAGGGGGAGACUGGAAUUCCUGGUGUAGCGGUGGAAUGCGCAGAUAUCAGGAGGAACACCCGUAGCGAAGGCGGCACUCUGGGCCGAUACUGACACUGAGGAGCGAAAGCGUGGGGAGCGAACAGG
This 254-nucleotide ribosomal RNA is filed under the name uncultured bacterium. RNAcentral's name for it is "partial 16S ribosomal RNA". It matches the Rfam family "Bacterial small subunit ribosomal RNA", at positions 524 to 776 of the family's 1533-position model. The record is from RNAcentral.